Long non-coding RNA from Triticum dicoccoides, 558 nucleotides. RefSeq lists it as uncharacterized. The transcript is spliced from 2 exons. The record is from RefSeq and is a predicted model, not a curated record. NCBI's taxonomy places the organism in Eukaryota, Viridiplantae, Streptophyta, Magnoliopsida, Poales, Poaceae.
CUGGCUUUGACGAACGGCGCUUGGGGUAAAAAAAAAAGUAAUUCUCAGAGACGCUAUUUUCCCCUGGAUUCGCGGCCGGAGAGGGUUGUACUCAUUGCGAUGGCGGAGGCGACGGGGGAUGGGUUCGAGUUCUUAUCCGAUCCGGUUGAUAGAUUCCCUGUGCUGGCGUUGAUGGCGGUGACUACGCGCCACCGGCGCAGCCCGCUCCAGAUCUGCUGGAUAUAGCAGGCGAGUCUAGCAUUGAUGAUGUGGGCGACCGGCCGCCGGCACUAAGUAGAACUGAACGGCGUUUGCUCGAGCAUGAGCUUGUCGGUGCCGGACUUAGAACAGUGAACAGGCAAGGACGACCGGCAAGGACGAUGGAUGGUAUUGCUUCUGCAAGUUCAAACCAUUUCGUUUCAGUUUCUUGAUUCUAGACGAUGGAUGGUAUGUAUUGCGUCUGCAAGUUCAAACCAUUUGGUUUCAGUUUCUUGAUUCUAGACGAUGGAUGGUAUUGCGUCUGCAAGUUCAAACCAAUUUGUUUCGGUUUCUUGAUUCUAGACUUGUCUUUUUGUUGCA